AAAAAAUGAAACAAUGAGAAUGGAUCCUCACACAUGGUAUAUGGGUCUCUAUACUUUUCCACUUCUAAAUUCAAAUUCAAAUAACAUGUCACAUUAAAUAAUGUUUGAAUAAUUUUUUCAAAUCCAACCAUCUCUCUACUUUUCACUUAUUCAUUUUAUUACUCUCUCACUAUUUUUCUCUUCAACCAAAAUCUUUUCUUCUUCCAUUUCAAAAGUUUUUUUUUUCUUUUUUAGUGGGAAGAUAUAUAUUUUGCUUUCAUGUCAAAAGUUUGUCAUGUUAUGUUCUAUUUGUGGAAGAUACUAACACUGCCUUAAUCAGUUUUAUGUGGCUGCAGCUCUUGGCUACAUCACCAAUCAAACACUCUAUAUCAAUAAAAGCCACGUAGGAUGGGGUAGUCUUGUUACCUGAUCGUUGGCUAUGAUGUCAAUGCGGAUAUGCUGCCAAACACCAUCACACGAGUAAGUUAUUCUAAAGUGGAUUCCAAUCGCUGGACCCUCACCUUUCCCAACCACAUUUUCUCACAAUUUAGCAAAACAAGAAAGAGAUUUUGUGUGAUUUGAGUUUUCAACGAAAGAACGAAGUAUUUGAAUUCUGAUAUGAGAAACAUAGAGGGAAAGCUAUAGUUAUAUAGAAAUGGUUUGAAAUAUGGAAUGUUGGCUAUGGAGUUGAUGAACAUUUGGGUCUAGAGUUUCAAUGGACACGAUGAUUGCUGAUUAAGACUCUUCUAUAUGGGUCUAAUGAUGUUCUAGGGUUUAACUCUACCAUUAAUUUUUUCUUCAUGUAUUUGAUUGCUGAUUAAUUUUGCUUGUUUUCUAAUCAAGAUCACAAACAUAUCUUUUUAGUGGUGGUUCAUCUUUAAAUAGACAUGUGUAUUUUGUGUGUCCUAACAUGUGCUUAUUUGAUUUUUAUUUUAAAAUGGUUUUCUCUAUAUCUGACAACCAAACACACAUUUUCUUUGUGCAGAGGUGGAAGAUUGAGCUGUGAUGCCGUAUAGAACAAUGCAAAUUAAACCAUUCGAUAAAAGUGAUUGUUGAGCCAUUAUUAUCACUUUUCAUUUCUUUAUCCUUGUAUGCAUCUUUCAGAAUAGGAGAUCAAUUAAAGAAUGUGAUUACCUCAUUAACAUAAUUUUAUAAGCACACUACUUACACAAUGUUAAGUUGAUUGUUGAGCCAUUAUUAUCACUUUUCAUUUCUUUAUCCUUGUAUGCAUCUUUCAGAAUAGGAGAUCAAUUGUUAAGUUGUAUGUUUAUAACAUUGUGUAAGUAGUGUGCUUAUAAAAUUAUGUUAAUGAGGUAAUCACAUUCUUUAAUUGAUGCUUGUGGAUUUAGCUCCUUCUUGAAUGUUCAUCGUUUGAGGGUGUCUUAUAUUAUAGGAAGGUCAGGAAGACAAAAUAUGAGACUAGUUGUGAUACACCACAAGCAGUAGAAUGGGAGGUCUCAAUUCAUUGUGGUGCAGGAUGUUAAAUGACUAGUUUCUAAUUUAGAUGAUAUUUGUAACACCGUGAGUUUUUUAUGCAUGUUUUAUUAAUUAUUUAAUUUAAUAAUAAUUAAUUUUAGAAA
Molecule: long non-coding RNA, 1559 nt
Filed under: Lupinus angustifolius (narrow-leaved blue lupine)
Lineage: Eukaryota; Viridiplantae; Streptophyta; Magnoliopsida; Fabales; Fabaceae
Description: long non-coding RNA (LANG_LNC003393)
Source: RNAcentral